This 170-nucleotide ribosomal RNA is filed under the name Acinetobacter baumannii. RNAcentral's name for it is "partial 16S ribosomal RNA". It matches the Rfam family "Bacterial small subunit ribosomal RNA", at positions 1 to 168 of the family's 1533-position model. Lineage: Bacteria; Pseudomonadati; Pseudomonadota; Gammaproteobacteria; Moraxellales; Moraxellaceae. The record is from RNAcentral.
UUUAACUGAAGAGUUUGAUCAUGGCUCAGAUUGAACGCUGGCGGCAGGCUUAACACAUGCAAGUCGAGCGGGGGAAGGUAGCUUGCUACUGGACCUAGCGGCGGACGGGUGAGUAAUGCUUAGGAAUCUGCCUAUUAGUGGGGGACAACAUCUCGAAAGGGAUGCUAAUA